RNAcentral lists this long non-coding RNA (997 nucleotides) under Homo sapiens (human). RNAcentral's name for it is "HSALNT0145878". The record is from RNAcentral. Lineage: Eukaryota; Metazoa; Chordata; Mammalia; Primates; Hominidae.
AACAGAUGAAGGGGAUUCCAUGUCAUCUACCACUGUUGCACAGAUGGCCCUCCCUCAGCUCUCACCUAUGGUUUCGUGGGAGUUUUCCCAUGACCAGCUGAUAGAAGAGAAAAAAGCCUAGGCUUGGUGGGCACAGUAUAUUGGUGCAAGCCAAAAAUAGACAGCUGUUAGACUACCACCCCACCUAGGAGUGCUGAGGGGAAAUCCUCAGGGAGGGGGCGUUUUAGGCAAAGAACUUGGCCAUUCAUUUUGCGUGAAGGGAGAAGUGAUCCAAGAUGUGUCUCUGAUCUUGAAGGAAAAAAAUGAAAGGCUUUGUUAUGUCUCCGGCAAAAGAGAUAUGGAAAACAAAUGGGACGGCAAGUGGUUGGAGCUGAGAUGUGAAAGCACAAUGAAUGGAGGAUGCCACAUCAUUACCUGGGGAGAGAGCACUCUGCCUUCUCAUUGAAUCUCAGCAACUUGUCUAGGGUAGGAGGGGGCAUUGCUAUAAAACCAUUCCUUCUUUGUGAAAAUGGACCUUGAACUUACCGGUUUCUUUAAGAGCCUACCAUAUUUGCUGAGAGAACAAAGGGCUUCAUUCCAGUGCCUGGAUCAGACUUAGAUAUUUUGAAACUUCACAGCUCAUAUUGCUGACAAAGAGCAUGCUGCUCUUUCAUGUGAUUUAUAUGAAAUGGUGGCCCAAUAAAAACUUGAGGAAGAAUGGCUACCUUCUGCCCUUAGGAGAUUCUGCCUUUUUGACUCUAUUCUUGGUUAGCCAAAAGAACAAUGAGAAUUAAGGUGCUUUGUUUUUUUUUUUAUUGACAAUGAUUGGUUGUAUUUUCUUACUCAGCUGUUCACUCAACACCAAAAGCCUUAAAAAAGUAAGAACCAAGAUUGCAGAUGGCAGUGAGGCCUUUGAGACCCUCAGUGCUCUGUGACGGUCUUUCAGGAAGUGAGCCUUUUUACCUGAGUUAAGUAGGAACCUUGUAAUUGCAUAAAUUCUCCAUGCUUGCUGGUUUUU